Molecule: ribosomal RNA, 384 nt
Filed under: uncultured bacterium
Lineage: Bacteria
Description: bacterial SSU rRNA
Rfam family: Bacterial small subunit ribosomal RNA
Source: RNAcentral
AUUGAACGCUGGCGGCAUGCCUUACACAUGCAAGUCGAACGGCAGCGCGGGGCAACCUGGCGGCGAGUGGCGAACGGGUGAGUAAUAUAUCGGAACGUGCCCUGGAGUGGGGAUAACGUAGCGAAAGUUACGCUAAUACCGCAUACGAUCCAAGGAUGAAAGCAGGGGACCUUCGGGCCUUGUGCUCCUGGAGCGGCCGAUAUCUGAUUAGCUAGUUGGUGGGGUAAAAGCCUACCAAGGCGACGAUCAGUAGCUGGUCUGAGAGGACGACCAGCCACACUGGAACUGAGACACGGUCCAGACUCCUACGGGAGGCAGCAGUGGGGAAUUUUGGACAAAUGGGGGCAACCCUGAUCCAGCAAUGCCGCGUGUGUGAAGAAGGCC